This is a long non-coding RNA of Lotus japonicus, 936 nucleotides long. RefSeq lists it as uncharacterized. The record is from RefSeq and is a predicted model, not a curated record. NCBI's taxonomy places the organism in Eukaryota, Viridiplantae, Streptophyta, Magnoliopsida, Fabales, Fabaceae. The transcript is spliced from 5 exons.
UCCUCUCUGUUUCUCACCGGCUCAUCUUUUAUAACUCUGUUAUCGUUUCUUCUCCCUAAUGAACAUUGCCAAAGUGGAAGAAUUUGGAAUGACCACCAUUGAAGAGGUAAAGCGUAACAAGGCUUCUUUUAAAUAUCAAAACGGUUGCUUCUACAACAGUCGACGAGAAUAGAGAUCGCCAAAUCCCAUCUUCCUUAAUACCCCUCUUUUUAUCUUCCGUCUCCUUCCCCUUCAAUCCGUUGGAUUGCUGGAGCAACAAAACGGGGUUCAGGGUACUAUUUUUCACUGCAAGAGGUCCUUCAAUGUCUCCAGAGUGUAUUCUUCCUAUAUGAAAGCCUAUGAGUUGUAGUGAAUCUAGUUAGAGGAUCCUUUGAAUGCUAUCCUUGCCCGCCAAGGUUCCUACUGAGGUUAUUUGAAUUUAAACUGGCUUGCGUUACCAUGGUGAAACAACUCUCAUCUCAUACAUUAAGCUGAAGGGGGGCAAGACUAGAAGGAACAAUAAUGAUGACAGGUUACUUGGUAUGCAGUCGCUGAAGCCUACCACCAGCACCAUCUUAUGCUUAUGAGCUCAUCUUGAGAACCGAUGAAAGACAUUUAGAGGCUGCCACAGCUUACAUUGAGAUCCUUAAAUGUAAAUUACAUCCCAGCGAUGCUACUAAUCCCCUGCUUGGAGGAUCCUUAAAUUCAAUGAACACUUAAGGAAUGUUGGGUCAGUAGCUACUAACUGAGUUGUCCAUGAAAAUGUAUGAAGGAAUGAAACAUCAUCAAUCAAUGGAUUCAAAGCCAUCUAAAGCAUUGUCUUACCUGAAACAAUGAAGUUUAUAUACUUUAGGUUAAAAGAAUUUAGCACAUGAUAGAAAGUUUGUGUGUUUUAGAUGUUGCAGAUUUGUUGACUAUGUUUGUACUUAUUGUAAUUGCUAAAGGAAGACUUUUCAA